RNAcentral lists this ribosomal RNA (330 nucleotides) under uncultured eukaryote. RNAcentral describes it as "partial 18S ribosomal RNA". It matches the Rfam family "Eukaryotic small subunit ribosomal RNA", at positions 1470 to 1796 of the family's 1831-position model. The record is from RNAcentral.
CUCUUAGACGUUCUGGGCCGCACGCGCGCUACACUGAUGCAUUCAACGAGUCUAAAACCUGGUCUGAUAGGGCUGGGUAAUCUUUUGAAUGUGCAUCGUGAUUGGGAUAGAUGAUUGCAAUUCUUCAUCUUCAACGAGGAAUGCCUAGUAAACGCAAGUCAUCAGCUUGCAUUGAUUACGUCCCUGCCCUUUGUACACACCGCCCGUCGCUCCUACCGAUUGAAUGUUCCGAUGAAUACCAUGGACUGAGAGUAUGAAUGGGUUCGCCUAUUUCUGCUUCUCGGGAAGUGGAGUAAAUCUUAACAUUUAGAGGAAGGAGAAGUCGUAACA